CGGAAGUACCCCAAUCGUAACAAGGUCUCCGUUGGUGAACCAGCGGAGGGAUCAUUACCGAGUUUACAACUCCCAAACCCCUGUGAACAUACCACUUGUUGCCUCGGCGGAUCAGCCCGCUCCCGGUAAAACGGGACGGCCCGCCAGAGGACCCCUAAACUCUGUUUCUAUAUGUAACUUCUGAGUAAAACCAUAAAUAAAUCAAAACUUUCAACAACGGAUCUCUUGGUUCUGGCAUCGAUGAAGAACGCAGCAAAAUGCGAUAAGUAAUGUGAAUUGCAGAAUUCAGUGAAUCAUCGAAUCUUUGAACGCACAUUGCGCCCGCCAGUAUUCUGGCGGGCAUGCCUGUUCGAGCGUCAUUUCAACCCUCAAGCACAGCUUGGUGUUGGGACUCGCGUUAAUUCGCGUUCCCCAAAUUGAUUGGCGGUCACGUCGAGCUUCCAUAGCGUAGUAGUAAAACCCUCGUUACUGGUAAUCGUCGCGGCCACGCCGUUAAACCCCAACUUCUGAAUGUUGACCUCGGAUCAGGUAGGAACCCCCGAAAUU
This 546-nucleotide ribosomal RNA is filed under the name Fusarium sp. FPGLXJ05. Its description in RNAcentral is "eukaryotic LSU rRNA". The stretch from base 206 to 359 matches the Rfam family "5.8S ribosomal RNA". The record is from RNAcentral. Lineage: Eukaryota; Fungi; Ascomycota; Sordariomycetes; Hypocreales; Nectriaceae.